UACAGAGGUCUCAAGCGUUGUUCGGAUUCAUUGGGCGUAAAGGGUGUGUAGGUGGCGCGCUAAGUCGGGUGUGAAAUUUCGGAGCUUAACUCCGAAACUGCAUUCGAUACUGGCGUGCUUGAGGACUGGAGAGGAGACUGGAAUUCAUGGUGUAGCAGUGAAAUGCGUAGAGAUCAUGAGGAAGACCGGUGGCGAAGGCGGGUCUCUGGACAGUUCCUGACACUGAGGCACGAAGGUCAGGGGAGCAAACGGG
RNAcentral lists this ribosomal RNA (253 nucleotides) under uncultured bacterium. RNAcentral describes it as "partial 16S ribosomal RNA". It matches the Rfam family "Bacterial small subunit ribosomal RNA", at positions 524 to 776 of the family's 1533-position model. The record is from RNAcentral.